CUACUAGGGUAUCUAAUCCUGUUUGCUCCCCACGCUUUCGUGCAUGAGCGUCAGUAUUGGCCCAGGGGGCUGCCUUCGCCAUCGGUAUUCCUCCACAUCUCUACGCAUUUCACUGCUACACGUGGAAUUCUACCCCCCUCUGCCAUACUCUAGCCUGCCAGUCGCCAAUGCAGUUCCCAGGUUGAGCCCGGGGAUUUCACAUCGGUCUUAGCAAACCGCCUGCGCACGCUUUACGCCCAGUAAUUCCGAUUAACGCUUGCACCCUACGUAUUACCGCGGCUGCUGGCAC
Molecule: ribosomal RNA, 289 nt
Filed under: uncultured Burkholderia sp.
Lineage: Bacteria; Pseudomonadati; Pseudomonadota; Betaproteobacteria; Burkholderiales; Burkholderiaceae
Description: partial 16S ribosomal RNA
Source: RNAcentral